This 465-nucleotide ribosomal RNA is filed under the name uncultured bacterium. Its description in RNAcentral is "partial 16S ribosomal RNA". It matches the Rfam family "Bacterial small subunit ribosomal RNA", at positions 28 to 507 of the family's 1533-position model. The record is from RNAcentral.
GACGAACGCUGGCGGCGUGCUUAACACAUGCAAGUCGAACGGAAAGGCCCUGCUUGCAGGGUACUCGAGUGGCGAACGGGUGAGUAACACGUGGGUGAUCUGCCCUGCACUUCGGGAUAAGCCUGGGAAACUGGGUCUAAUACCGGAUAGGAGCCAUUUUUAGUGUGAUGGUUGGAAAGUUUUUUCGGUGUAGGAUGAGCUCGCGGCCUAUCAGCUUGUUGGUGGGGUAAUGGCCUACCAAGGCGGCGACGGGUAGCCGGACUGGGAGGGUGGCCGGCAACAUUGGGACUGGGAUACGGCCCCGACUCCGACGGGAGGCAGCAGUGGGGAAGAUUACAAAAUGGGCGCAAGCCAGAUGCAGCGACGCCGCGGGGGGGAGGACGGCCUUCGGGUUGGAAACUCCUUUCGCUAGGGACGAAGCUUUUUGUGACGGUACCUAGAGAAGAAGCACCGGCUAACUACGUG